Molecule: ribosomal RNA, 253 nt
Filed under: uncultured bacterium
Lineage: Bacteria
Description: partial 16S ribosomal RNA
Rfam family: Bacterial small subunit ribosomal RNA
Source: RNAcentral
UUCGGGGGGGGCAAGCGUUGUUCGGAAUUACUGGGCGUAAAGGGCUCGUAGGCGGCCAACUAAGUCAGACGUGAAAUCCCUCGGCUUAACCGGGGAACUGCGUCUGAUACUGGAUGGCUUGAAUCCGGGAGAGGGAUGCGGAAUUCCAGGUGUAGCGGUGAAAUGCGUAGAUAUCUGGAGGAACACCGGUGGCGAAGGCGGCAUCCUGGACCGAGAUUGACGCUGAGGCGCGAAAGCCAGGGGAGCAAACGGG